CCAAUAGCGUAUAUUAAAGUUGUUGCAGUUAAAAAGCUCGUAGUUGAAUUUCGGGGUUAGUAGGUUGGUCAUGCCUCUGGUAUGUACUGGUCUCACUGAUUCCUCCUUCCUGAUGAACCUUAAUGCCAUUAAUUUGGUGUUUUGGGGAAUUUGGACUGUUACUUUGAAAAAAUUAGAGUGUUUAAAGCAAGCUAACGCUUGAAUACAUUAGCAUGGAAUAAUGAAAUAGGACGUUCGAUCCUAUUUUGUUGGUUUCUAGGAUUGACGUAAUGAUUAAUAGGGAUAGUUGGGGGCAUUAGUAUUCAAUUGUCAGAGGUGAAAUUCUUGGAUUUAUUGAAGACUAACUACUGCGAAAGCAUUUGCCAAGGAUGUUUUCAUUAAUCAAGAACGAAAGUUAGGGGAUCGAAGACGAUCAGAUACCGUCGUAGUCUUAACCAUAAACUAUGCCGACUAGGGAUCGGAUGAUGUUAAUUCUUUAAUGACUCAUUCGGCGCCUUACG
Molecule: ribosomal RNA, 500 nt
Filed under: uncultured Glomeromycotina
Lineage: Eukaryota; Fungi; Glomeromycota
Description: partial small subunit ribosomal RNA
Rfam family: Eukaryotic small subunit ribosomal RNA
Source: RNAcentral